Triticum aestivum (bread wheat) is the source of this 135-nucleotide non-coding RNA. NCBI's taxonomy places the organism in Eukaryota, Viridiplantae, Streptophyta, Magnoliopsida, Poales, Poaceae. The record is from Rfam.
CUUAUACUCCCUCCGUUCCGAAUUACUUGUCUUAGAUUUGUCUAGAUACGAAGGUAUCUAACACUAAAAUGAGUCUAGAUACAUCUGUAUCUAGACAAAUCCAAGACAAGUAAUUCGGAACAGAGGGAGUAUGUA